UACGAAGGGGGCUAGCGUUGCUCGGAAUCAUUGGGCGUAAAGAGCGUGUAGGCGGCUUGGCAAGUCUGACGUGAAAUCCCGCGGCUCAACCGCGGUAGGUCGUUGGAAACUGCCUCGCUAGGGUCCGGAAGAGGAGAGCGGAAUUCCUGGUGUAGCGGUGGAAUGCGCAGAUAUCAGGAAGAACACCCGUGGCGAAGGCGGCUCUCUGGGACGGUACUGACGCUGAGACGCGAAAGCGUGGGGAGCGAACAGG
This 253-nucleotide ribosomal RNA is filed under the name uncultured bacterium. RNAcentral describes it as "partial 16S ribosomal RNA". It matches the Rfam family "Bacterial small subunit ribosomal RNA", at positions 524 to 776 of the family's 1533-position model. The record is from RNAcentral.